Molecule: ribosomal RNA, 446 nt
Filed under: uncultured bacterium
Lineage: Bacteria
Description: partial 16S ribosomal RNA
Rfam family: Bacterial small subunit ribosomal RNA
Source: RNAcentral
CCUACGGGUGGCAGCAGUCGAGAAUCAUUCACAAUGGGGGAAACCCUGAUGGUGCGACGCAGCGUGGGGGAAUGAAGGCCUUCGGAUUGUAAACCCCUGUCAUGUGGGAGCAAAUUAAAAAGAUAGUACCACAUGAGGAAGAGACGACUAACUCUGUGCCAGCAGCCGCGGUAAUACAGAGGUCUCAAGCGUUGUUCGGAAUCACUGGGCGUAAAGCGUGCGUAGGCUGUUUCGUAAGUCGUGUGUGAAAGGCGCGGGCUCAACCCGCGGACGGCACAUGAUACUGGGAGACUAGAGUAAUGGAGGGGGAACCGGAAUUCUCGGUGUAGCAGUGAAAUGCUUAGAGAUCGAGAGGAACACUCGUUGCGAAGGCGGGUUCCUGGACAUUAACUGACGCUGAGGCACGAAGGCCAGGGGAGCGAAAGGGAUUAGAUACCCUGGUAGUC